GAUGAACGCUGGCGGCAUGCCUAAGACAUGCAAGUCGAACGAGAUGGCCCAUUGAGGAUGGAGUGCUUGCACAAAAUCUGAUUUGGAAUUUCCAUCUAGUGGCGCAAGGGUGAGUAACACGUAGGAAAUCUACCUUUAAGACUGGGAUAACAAUUAGAAAUGAUUGCUAAUACCGGAUAACAUAUAUAAUGAUACGUCAAUAUAUAUUGAAAGAAGCCUUUAAAGCUUCACUUAGAGAUGAGCCUGCGGCGUAUUAGCUAGUUGGUAGGGUAAGAGCCUACCAAGGCAAUGAUGCGUAGCCGACCUGAGAGGGUGAUCGGCCACAUUGGGACUGAGACACGGCCCAA
This 347-nucleotide ribosomal RNA is filed under the name uncultured bacterium. Its description in RNAcentral is "bacterial SSU rRNA". It matches the Rfam family "Bacterial small subunit ribosomal RNA", at positions 28 to 334 of the family's 1533-position model. The record is from RNAcentral.